Molecule: ribosomal RNA, 253 nt
Filed under: uncultured bacterium
Lineage: Bacteria
Description: partial 16S ribosomal RNA
Rfam family: Bacterial small subunit ribosomal RNA
Source: RNAcentral
UACGUAGGGGGCAAGCGUUGUCCGGAUUUAUUGGGCAUAAAGAGCGUGUAGGCGGCUUUACAGGUCCGUUGUGAAAACUCGAGGCUCAACCUCGAGACGCCGGUGGAAACCGUAAAGCUAGAGUCCGGAAGAGGAGAGUGGAAUUCCUGGUGUAGCGGUGAAAUGCGCAGAUAUCAGGAGGAACACCCGUGGCGAAAGCGGCUCUCUGGGACGGUACUGACGCUGAGACGCGAAAGCGUGGGGAGCAAACAGG